Long non-coding RNA from Amphimedon queenslandica, 330 nucleotides. RefSeq lists it as uncharacterized. The record is from RefSeq and is a predicted model, not a curated record. NCBI's taxonomy places the organism in Eukaryota, Metazoa, Porifera, Demospongiae, Haplosclerida, Niphatidae. The transcript is spliced from 2 exons.
AUUAUUUUAUUUUAUCUCUUAUAGAGUUUCAUCCUAAGCUGUUAGGACUAACAGGAACAAAUGAAGAGGUACAUACAGCAGCUAAAGCUUAUCGAGUCUAUUACAGUCCAGCACCUGUUGAUGAUGAUAAUGAUUAUUUAGUUGACCACACUAUUAUAUUGUACGGUCAAAACAAGACAGCAGAUCAAGUACACGCUGGCAUUAGCAAUCAAAUGAUCAAGUAUAAACACAGGAAGUGAUAAGAAGACACUAAAACAAUACAUGCACACAAUCAUCAAUUGACUUUCAUAUGAUACCAUUUAAUGGGGCGAAGCCCACUCUGGUGAAAAA